GACGAACGCUGGCGGCGUGCCUAACACAUGCAAGUCAAGGGGAAACGGGUAGCAAUAUCCGGAGUACACUGGCGCACGGGUGAGUAACGCGUAGGUAACCUGCCCAUAGGACGGGGAUAAUUCAGCGAAAGCUGGACUAAUACCCGAUGUUGAGACGUCAUCACAUGGUGGUGUCUUGAAAAGCCCGCAAGGGUGCCGAUGGAUGGGCCUGCGUCCCAUUAGGUAGUUGGUAGGGUAACGGCCUACCAAGCCUGCGAUGGGUAGCUGGUCUGAGAGGAUGAUCAGCCACACUGGAACUGAGACACGGUCCAGACUCC
RNAcentral lists this ribosomal RNA (317 nucleotides) under uncultured bacterium. RNAcentral describes it as "bacterial SSU rRNA". It matches the Rfam family "Bacterial small subunit ribosomal RNA", at positions 28 to 339 of the family's 1533-position model. The record is from RNAcentral.